Molecule: ribosomal RNA, 515 nt
Filed under: uncultured bacterium
Lineage: Bacteria
Description: partial 16S ribosomal RNA
Rfam family: Bacterial small subunit ribosomal RNA
Source: RNAcentral
GAUGAACGCUGGCGGCGUGCCUAAUACAUGCAAGUCGAGCGAAUGGAUUAAGAGCUUGCUCUUAUGAAGUUAGCGGCGGACGGGUGAGUAACACGUGGGUAACCUGCCCAUAAGACUGGGAUAACUCCGGGAAACCGGGGCUAAUACCGGAUAACAUUUUGAACCGCAUGGUCCGAAAUUGAAAGGCGGCUUCGGCUGCCACUUAAGGAUGGACCCGCGUCGCAUUAGCUAGUUGGUGAGGUAACGGCUCACCAAGGCAACGAUGCGUAGCCGACCUGAGAGGGUGAUCGGCCACACUGGGACUGAGACACGGCCCAGACUCCUACGGGAGGCAGCAGUAGGGAAUCUUCCGCAAUGGACGAAAGUCUGACGGAGCAACGCCGCGUGAGUGAUGAAGGCUUUCGGGUCGUAAAACUCUGUUGUUAGGGAAGAACAAGUGCUAGUUGAAUAAGCUGGCACCUUGACGGUACCUAACCAGAAAGCCACGGCUAACUACGUGCCAGCCGCCGCUGUAA